UGUGGGGGGCCCGGCGCUAAUUAAUCCCCGCUAACGAGGCGGUAAUUACCCAGGUACAGGAAGAUGAAGGAGCGCCUGGGGCUGACGGAGAUCCGCAAGCAGGCCAACCGCAUGAGCUUCGGAGAGAUCGAGGAGGACGCCUACCAGGAGGACCUGGGCUUCAGCCUGGGCCACCUGGGCAAGGCGGGCAGCGGCCGCGUGCGGCAGACGCAGAUCAACGA
Phasianus colchicus (ring-necked pheasant) is the source of this 221-nucleotide non-coding RNA. NCBI's taxonomy places the organism in Eukaryota, Metazoa, Chordata, Aves, Galliformes, Phasianidae. The record is from RefSeq and is a predicted model, not a curated record.